GAUGAAGAACGCAGCGAAAUGCGAUACGUAAUGUGAAUUGCAGAAUUCAGUGAAUCAUCGAAUCUUUGAACGCAUAUUGCGCUCUUUGGUAUUCCGAAGAGCAUGCUUGUUUGAGUAUCAGUAAACACCUCAACCUCCUUCUUUGUUAAAAAGAGGGUGUUGGACUUGAGCAAACCCAACGAAGCGAUUCAUUUCGUCUCGGCGGGUUGCUUGAAAUGCAGGUGCGGCUGUAACAAGAACAGACUGAGCUAAAAGCAUAUCUAUUGAUUGUCCCUGCCUUCUUGGGUGGAUCGAUCUCUAUUUGCUGCAGCUACUCUAAGGUCGUCUUGUAUGAGCUGACUGAUGCAGGAUUGACAAAAGCCUCUUCGCGAGGCCUUUUUCAAAACUCGAUCUCAAAUCAAGUAAGACUACCCGCUGAACUUAAGCAUAUCAAUAAGCGGAGGA
Molecule: unclassified non-coding RNA, 444 nt
Filed under: soil metagenome
Description: partial contains 5.8S ribosomal RNA, internal transcribed spacer 2, and large subunit ribosomal RNA
Rfam family: 5.8S ribosomal RNA (bases 1-120)
Source: RNAcentral